CCUACGGGAGGCAGCAGUAGGGAAUAUUGGUCAAUGGGUGAGAGCCUGAACCAGCCAUGCCGCGUGCAGGAAGACGGCCUUCUGGGUUGUAAACUGCUUUUACCGGGGGAUAAAAUUCCCAUGCGUGGGACAUUGAAGGUACCCGGUGAAUAAGCCACGGCUAACUACGUGCCAGCAGCCGCGGUAAUACGUAGGUGGCGAGCGUUGUCCGGAUUUAUUGGGUUUAAAGGGUGCGUAGGCGGCCUUAUAAGUCAGUGCUGAAAUAUCCCGGCUUAACCGGGAGGGUGGCAUUGAUACUGUAGGGCUUGAGUAAAGUUGAGGUAGGCGGAAUUGACGGUGUAGCGGUGAAAUGCUUAGAUAUCGUCAAGAACACCGAUAGUGUAGACAGCUUACUAAGCUUUAACUGACGCUGAGGCACGAAAGUGUGGGGAUCAAACAGG
RNAcentral lists this ribosomal RNA (440 nucleotides) under uncultured bacterium. Its description in RNAcentral is "bacterial SSU rRNA". It matches the Rfam family "Bacterial small subunit ribosomal RNA", at positions 338 to 776 of the family's 1533-position model. The record is from RNAcentral.